UACGUAGGGACCGAGCGUUGUCCGGAAUCAUUGGGCGUAAAGAGCGUGUAGGCGGCUAUUUAAGUCCUGCGUGAAAUCCUGCGGCUCAACCGCAGACGGUCGUGGGAAACUGGAUGGCUAGAGUGCGGGAGAGGAGAGUGGAAUUCCCGGUGUAGCGGUGAAAUGCGCAGAUAUCGGGAAGAACACCCGUGGCGAAGGCGGCUCUCUGGACCGGUACUGACGCUGAUGCGCGAAAGCGUGGGGAGCAAACGGG
Molecule: ribosomal RNA, 253 nt
Filed under: uncultured bacterium
Lineage: Bacteria
Description: partial 16S ribosomal RNA
Rfam family: Bacterial small subunit ribosomal RNA
Source: RNAcentral